RNAcentral lists this ribosomal RNA (469 nucleotides) under uncultured bacterium. Its description in RNAcentral is "partial 16S ribosomal RNA". It matches the Rfam family "Bacterial small subunit ribosomal RNA", at positions 27 to 507 of the family's 1533-position model. The record is from RNAcentral.
GGACGAACGCUGGCGGCGUGCUUAACACAUGCAAGUCGAACGGAAAGGCCCUGCUUUUGUGGGGUGCUCGAGUGGCGAACGGGUGAGUAACACGUGAGUAACCUGCCCUUGACUUUGGGAUAACUUCAGGAAACUGGGGCUAAUACUGGAUAGGAGCUCCUGCUGCAUGGUGGGGGUGGGAAAGUUUCGGGGGUUGGGGAUGGACUCGCGGCUUAUCAGCUUGUUGGUGGGGUAGUGGCUUACCAAGGCUUUGACGGAUAGCCGGCCUGAGAGGGUGACCGGCCACAUUGGGACUGAGAUACGGCCCAGACUCCUACGGGAGGCAGCAGUGGGGAAUAUUGCACAAUGGGCGGAAGCCUGAUGCAGCAACGCCGCGUGCGGGAUGACGGCCUUCGGGUUGUAAACCGCUUUCGCCUGUGACGAAGCGUGAGUGACGGUAAUGGGUAAAGAAGCACCGGCUAACUACGUG